AUUUAAUGGCCGCGGUAUUUUGACCGUGCAAAGGUAGCAUAAUCAUUAGCUUAUUAAUUGUAAGAUUGUAUGAAUGGUUGGACGAAAUAUUGACUGUCUCAUUAUUAAUAUUUUGAAUUUAAAUUUUUAGUUAAAAAGCUUAAAUUUUUUUAAAGGACGAGAAGACCCUAUAGAUCUUUAUUUUCAUUAUUAUGUUAUUUUUUGUUUAGAUUUAUAUUUUUUGAAUUUUUAGUUGGGGUGAUUUUUAGAUAUAACUAACUCUUUAUUUUUUUUUUCAUUAAUUUUUGUUUAAUUGAUCUUUUAUUAUUGUUCAUAAAAUUAAAAUACCUUAGGGAUAACAGCGUAAUUCUUUUUGANAGUUCAUAUUGACAAAGGAAAUUGCGACCUCGAUGUUGAAUUAAAAUUAAUAUUAGG
This 414-nucleotide ribosomal RNA is filed under the name Phyllium samarense. RNAcentral's name for it is "Phyllium sp. 2 SB-2023a partial large subunit ribosomal RNA". The record is from RNAcentral. Lineage: Eukaryota; Metazoa; Arthropoda; Insecta; Phasmatodea; Phylliidae.